UCCGCCCCGACUCUGCGUAAGCACCACCCGCCCUACGCGGUCUCGAAAUGGCUCCGGGUGGCGGAGUAAGACGACAGGCCUCCGCGGUUCGCCCUCUCACCUGCUCGGCACAGGCUUCCACCUCCAGCUAGUCCCGCCUCCUCCUGACACUCUGCCGGCCGCGAAUGGAGGGCCCAGGAAAAGGCCCGGUUGUGACAGGAGAGAGAGUGUGUUUACAUCUCACCUCACCCCGAGCGGGCUGGUUUCAGCCCCGCCUCCUCCUCCCCGCCGUUUAAAACGGUGGGUCGCCCUCCUCCUCACUCAGAGGAGCGGCCCCGCAGUUGGUGUUUCAGGGGUUGGUUUGGCUGGGUGACUCCGCGGCAGCCUGCCGUCCACUGCGAAAGGCCCUCGAACUUCAGGUGGAAGAUGUCGGAAAGUAACUUGGCAGAGCGCAGCGACGGACGCGAGAGGCUGGUGUCUGGUGCUAAAGUCGUCGCCCAGGCCCUGAAAACACAGGAUGUGAAUUACAUGUUUGGCAUCGUAGGCAUCCCGGUGACCGAAAUCGCCCUUGCUGCCCAGGAGGUGGGCAUCAGAUACAUCGGGAUGAGGAACGAGCAGGCGGCUUGUUAUGCUGCCUCUGCGGUUGGAUAUCUGACAGGCAGGCCGGGAGUUUGCCUUGUUGUUUCUGGCCCAGGUCUCAUCCAUGCUUUGGGUGGUAUGGCAAAUGCAAACAUGAACUGUUGGCCCUUGAUUGUGAUUGGUGGUUCCUCUGAAAGAAGUCAGGAAACAAUGGGGGCCUUUCAGGAGUUUCCUCAGGUUGAAGCUUGUAGAUUAUAUAGCAAGUUCUCUGCCCGGCCAAGUAGCAUAGAAGCUAUUCCCUCUAUUAUCGAAAAGGCAGUGAGAAGCAGUAUUUAUGGUCGUCCAGGUGCUUGCUAUGUUGACAUACCUGCAGAUUUUGUGAACCUCCAGGUGAAUGUGGAUUCUGUAAGGUACGUGGAGUGCUGCAUGCCCCCUCCUGUUAGUAUGGCAGAAAGCUCUGCUGUAUGUAUGGCAGCAUCUGUUAUUAGGAAUGCCAGACAGCCCCUUCUUAUCAUCGGGAAAGGUGCUGCUUAUGCCCGUGCAGAGGAGAGUAUCAGGAAAUUGGUGGAGCAAUGUAAAUUGCCAUUUCUGCCCACCCCCAUGGGAAAGGGUGUUAUCCCUGACAACCAUCCAAACUGUGUAGGUGCUGCCAGGUCCAGGGCUUUGCAAUUUGCUGAUGUAAUUGUGUUAUUUGGUGCCAGAUUAAAUUGGAUUUUACAUUUUGGACUGCCUCCAAGAUAUCAGCCAGAUGUGAAGUUUAUCCAGGUUGAUAUCUGUGCAGAAGAGUUGGGGAAUAAUGUAAGACCUGCUGUGACCUUGCUAGGAGACAUACAUGCUGUUACUAAACAGCUUUUAGAACAAUUUGAGAAAACACCAUGGCAGUAUCCUCCUGAGAGCAAGUGGUGGAAAAUUCUGAGAGAAAAAAUGAAGAGCAAUGAAGCUUUAUCCAAGGAAUUAGCUUUCAAAAAAUCCCUGCCUAUGAAUUAUUACACAGUAUUCUACCACAUUCAAGAACAACUGCCCAGAGACUGUUUUGUGGUGAGUGAAGGAGCAAAUACUAUGGAUAUUGGGCGCACUGUACUUCAAAACUACCUUCCUCGUCACAGGCUUGAUGCUGGUACUUUCGGAACAAUGGGAGUCGGUUUGGGAUUUGCCAUUGCAUCUGCUCUAGUGGCUAAAGAUAGAAACCCAGGGCAGCGGGUCAUCUGUGUGGAAGGAGACAGUGCAUUUGGAUUUUCUGGCAUGGAAGUGGAAACCAUCUGCAGGUACAACUUGCCAAUCAUACUUUUGGUGGUGAAUAACAAUGGAAUUUACCAAGGUUUUGAUACAGAUACUUGGAAGGAAAUGUUAAAAUUUGGAGAUGCUACUACAGUGGCCCCUCCAAUGUGUCUUCUGCCACAGUCACAUUAUGAGCAUGUCAUGACUGCAUUUGGAGGCAAAGGGUAUUUUGUACAAACACCAGAAGAACUCCAGAAAUCCCUGAGGCAGAGCCUGGCAGACACAACUAAACCCUGUCUUAUCAACAUCAUGAUUGAGCCGCAAGCCAUGCGGAAAGCCCAGGAUUUUCACUGGCUGACCCGCUCUAAUAUGUAAAUAAAGAUGCCAAUGAGUGACUUGAGGAGUUUUCUCUUUCCCGAACGAUGAGAAUUCAGGCUUGGAAAUGACUUAUCAGGGGUCACUGGAGCCAGCUCUGUGGAGUGCUUAAUCUACAGCUACCUGGUUCGUCCUGAGGCUCAUUCUCUGGUCCCAGCGUGUUCCCAGGUACUGCCUCCUCACCCCAGUGAUCAGGGAGGGCUCAGGAAAUCAGACCCGCUUUCACCCUAGCCUGAGCUCUGUGUGCUCCCCGCCGUUUGCCGUGUGGUAUCAGCCAUGUUGUCACCUCUUCCAUGAAGCCGUCCUCUCUCCCAGCCCUCCUACAGCACCCUGCGUGUACCUUUUUCACUACUCACGAUAUUCAUGAUGCAUCGAAUUCCCAUCUCCCUUCCCACCUCGACCGAGUGCCUGUGUACCCAGACGUCACCCACCCCUCGUCUUCCAGGGCCUGCGUCCUCCUGCUCUGUUUGGCGAGCUCCUCUGUGGGCUCCGCCUUGAAGAAUCUACAUAUUGCUAAGUGUAUAUAGUGAUAUGUACAUCACGGACAUUUUCUUGCAGGGGUGGCGACCUGGGGGGGUUUAUAUCACAAAAGCCGUGGCAGACGAUUCUGAGGGUGCAGCGUGGAGAGGUGAGACACCGAGGAGCAAAGCCCAGCCCUGGUGCCUGGGUUAGACAAACCCCACCGCCUUACAGCCGUGUAGGGGUGGGGUCUGGGCCUCGAGGCCCUGACGGAACUGGGCCAAGUUCCUCCUCCAAAUGGAGGUCAG
Balaenoptera musculus (blue whale) is the source of this 2918-nucleotide RNA transcript. It is a transcript of the gene named 2-hydroxyacyl-CoA lyase 1, with no coding region annotated. The record is from RefSeq and is a predicted model, not a curated record. The transcript has 19 exons. Lineage: Eukaryota; Metazoa; Chordata; Mammalia; Artiodactyla; Balaenopteridae.